RNAcentral lists this ribosomal RNA (497 nucleotides) under uncultured bacterium. RNAcentral describes it as "partial 16S ribosomal RNA". It matches the Rfam family "Bacterial small subunit ribosomal RNA", at positions 28 to 507 of the family's 1533-position model. The record is from RNAcentral.
GAUGAACGCUGGCGGCGUGCCUAAUACAUGCAAGUCGAGCGAACAGACGAGGAGCUUGCUCCUCUGACGUUAGCGGCGGACGGGUGAGUAACACGUGGAUAACCUACCUAUAAGACUGGGAUAACUUCGGGAAACCGGAGCUAAUACCGGAUAAUAUAUUGAACCGCAUGGUUCAAUAGUGAAAGACGGUUUUGCUGUCACUUAUAGAUGGAUCCGCGCCGCAUUAGCUAGUUGGUAAGGUAACGGCUUACCAAGGCAACGAGGCGUAGCCGACCUGAGAGGGUGAUAGGCCAGACUGGAACUGAGACACGGUCCAGAAUCCUACGGGAGGCAGCAGUAGGGAAUCUUACGCAAUGGGCGAAAGCAUGACGGAGCAACGCCGCGUGAGUGAUGAAGGUCUUCGGAUCGUAAAACUCUGUUAUUAGGUAAGAACAAAUGUGUAAGUAACUUUGCACGUCUUGACGGUACCUAAUCAGAAAGCCACGGCUAACUACGUG